Non-coding RNA from Danio rerio (zebrafish), 1351 nucleotides. The record is from RefSeq and is a predicted model, not a curated record. Lineage: Eukaryota; Metazoa; Chordata; Actinopteri; Cypriniformes; Danionidae.
CCACUAGAGGCUUAUUGGUGCGUUCAUACAGAGUCGUUGUGAAAGGAGAAGUGCCCUCCUGAGAGUUUAGCUACGGUAAUCUGUUGUCUUUUGAGCCUGCAAGAUAGGUACUGUAACAGUUUUAUUUAGAGAAAAAAGAGGAAGUCCUCGCUGCAGUUUUGAGAGCAGCUAUUUUUCUUCAUGUUUGACUGGUGAUCGGUGGGAUUUAGCAUGCUUGCGGGUGCAGAAAUAUUCACAUGGUGAGACUAUGUAAUCUCCAGCAACGAAGAUUGAGCAGGGGAGAGCGAGUACACGCGAGUGCGCACGUGAUCGGAGGCUUUGUGGAUCAUUCAGAGUGCGGUUCAACAUUUAACAGAGGAUACAUAAUAAGCCACUAUCGUUGUUUAUUUAGGAUUAUUCAGGUUUAUUUAGAUUUAUUUAGUGCUAUUAAUCCUUAUUAGUGACACAUGCAAAAUCACUUUUGUUUUAUUUACUUACCUGUGUGGACAUUAUUACUGUAAAUUAAAAGGAGGAGAUCUUUAAGUAGUCAUUUUGAAACAUUGCUUGGUCUGAGCUAACCUAUUGUAAAUAUUGUAAUUCUUUCAUUAUUGUCCACAGAACAUUUUACAUUUCUUGUUUUUGCCCACUGUUGGAAAUCUGCAACUUUAAUGCCACAUUUUUCUAUUUAAACGUGGUCACAAAUAAAGAACCCUUUGUUUAUAGAUGACUGAGGAUGCUUGAUUUAUUUAAAUAGGAAGAGCAGUAUCCUGGCCACAUCUAUUUGGUACCAGGAGUGGGGUUAAUUUCCUCAGCAGGUUUCCAUUUGUGGGUAGUAUAAUUAGUGUAUAUAAAAAUAUAGAUAAAUAAAUAAUAAUAAAAUAAAUAAAUAUAAAGUCUAAGUUUUGUUAGUUAAGUGAGGAAAAUAAACAACGGUAGUGGUGAAGGAGAGUCACGCUUCAGAGACUGUGCAGAGAGCUGUGUGCGACAUCCGGACGACAGGGAGGACGAGGAGUCAGUGACUGGACCUGCUGGAUUGAGGACGCUUUAGAGGACUGUGUUUUGUUUCAAACUUCUAGAGACUUGUGGACUGAGAAAUCGUGCUAUUGAGGCAGAAGUAGCUGAUGUAAGUGUGAGUGGAGAGGAAGCCUGGGAAGAAGGCGGAGCCACUGAUAGAGAGGAGGACAGUGGGAGAGGUGACCCUCUUCUGCAGCUCAGGUCACAAAUUCAGGAGCUGGGAAAAAGACAUGAUCAGGUGAUGUCAACAUUAGCUACUCUGAACAAUACUAAUACUAGAUCUUACGUCUACACUGUAAAAAAAAAAGUUGAGUAAACUUAAAAUAAUAAGGCAACCUAUCACACAUAGCUUUUUGAG